CCAUCGAUGAAGAAAUUGAUCAUCCUUGCUCUGCGAGUGGGGAGGGCGAAGCUUGCGGACGCGUCGGUCACCGGUUAUCGACGUGUAUUCCAAUAGCGAGAAGCCGCCUCCGAUGAACAUUAUGGCCUCUGAGAUGG
RNAcentral lists this small nucleolar RNA (137 nucleotides) under Pristionchus pacificus. RNAcentral describes it as "Nematode snoRNA ceN47". It matches the Rfam family "Nematode snoRNA ceN47". Lineage: Eukaryota; Metazoa; Nematoda; Chromadorea; Rhabditida; Neodiplogasteridae. The record is from Rfam by way of RNAcentral.